This 149-nucleotide non-coding RNA is filed under the name Otolemur garnettii (small-eared galago). Lineage: Eukaryota; Metazoa; Chordata; Mammalia; Primates; Galagidae. The record is from Rfam by way of RNAcentral.
GCUGGGCAUGGUGGUGGAUGCCUGUAGUCCAAGCUACUCAGGAGGCUGAGACAGGAGGAUUGCUUGGGCCCAGGUGUUUGAGGUUGCUGUGAGCUAGGCUGAAGCCACAGCAUUCUAGCCUAGAGCAACAGAGUGAGACUCUGUCUCAU